AUUGGAUUCGGUGAUAUGGUGCCGAAAACUUACAUGGGCAUGCUGGUUGGUAGUUUGUGCGCUUUGACCGGUGUGCUUACGAUUGCCCUUCCAGUGCCGGUUAUUGUUAGCAAU
This is a regulatory RNA element of Trichinella papuae, 114 nucleotides long. It matches the Rfam family "Potassium channel RNA editing signal". Rfam says of the family: This family represents a group of sequences related to the human potassium channel Kv1.1 hairpin element which directs the efficient modification of an adenosine to inosine by an adenosine deaminase acting on RNA (ADAR). The ADAR modification causes an isoleucine/valine recoding event which lies in the ion-conducting pore of the potassium channel. NCBI's taxonomy places the organism in Eukaryota, Metazoa, Nematoda, Enoplea, Trichinellida, Trichinellidae. The record is from Rfam.